GAUGAAGAACGUAGCGAAAUGCGAUAAGUAAUGUGAAUUGCAGAAUUCAGUGAAUCACCGAAUCUUUGAACGCACAUUGCGCCCCUUGGUAUUCCGAGGGGCAUGCCUGUUCGAGCGUCAUUAUAACCCCUCAAGCUCAGCUUGGUGUUGGGGCCUGCUGCACUGGCAGCCCUUAAAAUCAGUGGCGGCGCCAUCUGGCUCUAAGCGUAGUAAUUCUUCUCGCUAUGGAGUCCUGGUGGAUGCUUGCCAUCAACCCCCAAUUUUUCUAUGGUUGACCUCGGAUCAGGUAGGGAUACCCGCUGAACUUAAGCAUAUCAAUAAGCGGAGGA
RNAcentral lists this unclassified non-coding RNA (329 nucleotides) under soil metagenome. RNAcentral's name for it is "partial contains 5.8S ribosomal RNA, internal transcribed spacer 2, and large subunit ribosomal RNA". The stretch from base 1 to 120 matches the Rfam family "5.8S ribosomal RNA", at positions 35 to 154 of the family's 154-position model. The record is from RNAcentral.